UCCGAGUUGACCCCGGCAGUCUCCUGCGAGUCCCCGCCGUUACGCGCUCGCAAUUUAGCCCAGGUAAGGUUCUUCGCGUUGCAUCGAAUUAAGCCACAUGCUCCACCGCUUGUGCGGGCCCCCGUCAAUUCCUUUGAGUUUCAUUCUUGCGAACGUACUCCCCAGGUGGUAUGCUUACUGCGUUAACUGCGUCACUGCCCCCGAAGGGACAACAACUAGCAUACAUCGUUUACGGCGUGGACUAC
RNAcentral lists this unclassified non-coding RNA (245 nucleotides) under uncultured Bacteroidota bacterium. Its description in RNAcentral is "uncultured Bacteroidetes bacterium contains 16S-23S intergenic spacer region". Lineage: Bacteria; Pseudomonadati; Bacteroidota. The record is from RNAcentral.